UUCAACGUCCGACACUUCAUUUUUAGUUUCUUUAACACUUACACUCUCAUAUUAAAAUUCAAAUAUUUACACAAUUACUACAAACUAAGGAUUGAAAUAACUUUCAAUUUAUACAAAAUAAAUCAGCAAUUGAAUAUGCAUGAGCCAUUUCCUCAAAAGAUCAUUCUUAUACGUUAAAUUUUACCUAAAGUUUCGACACUUGUCAAAGCUAUGAUUCUAUUGAAUUAUUUUCCACAUUUUUGGUAAAAUUUCUACUAAUAAUAUUAAUAUUGAACUAACUAUUGUUCUCAAAUUUUAGAUUGAUGUCUAUUUCAACAUAAUUUCACAAAUCCACACAUGCAGCUAAGUGAUGCAAGACGUAUCACCUUAACGAAGUUCCUUUCGAAGUGAGUUUUGGAAAAAUGGAACCUUUUGAUGAUUCUUACGAAUAAAUAAGACUAUUGUGUGAUACAACUAAAAGCAAAUCUCUGGUGUGAAAAUUAAUCUUUUGAAAGUAUAAGGAUAUCGUCUAUAUAAUGAAGAAUAAAAUCAUCAUAUUUAUCUAAAAUAUUAUGAA
Diabrotica virgifera virgifera (western corn rootworm) is the source of this 556-nucleotide long non-coding RNA. RefSeq lists it as uncharacterized. The record is from RefSeq and is a predicted model, not a curated record. The transcript has 2 exons. NCBI's taxonomy places the organism in Eukaryota, Metazoa, Arthropoda, Insecta, Coleoptera, Chrysomelidae.